AGGACACUCACCUGAAUGCAUGGUACUGGAGGAACGUUCCAUUUCGGUGGGAAGAUUGCUUAUAACAUUAUCCUCACGGAUGGUGCAGUGGGAAUUAGAUGCGUCUUUGUGCCUUCCCUUUAGAAUCAUUGAUAGAACUUUUUAAAAAUAAUCAUUCUGUGCUAUCAGAGCUAAAGAGAUUCUUGAGGCAAGAAAGGUUGUGUUUGAAGAAAACAUUGUCAGGAAGUAUAACAAAAUGGAGUGAGAAAUCUCUAUUGCGACUCAUGAGAAAAUAACCUGUAUUUCAUGACUAAAUCACACAUCACUCUUAAAAGGCCUUCAUACUAUCACCGAGAUGUCAAACAGUUCAGGUAACCACAUGAGAAGUGACAGGUGUUUUCUCCCUAAUGGUUACCUCCUUUGCCACCCCAUAUCCCCCAGAGGGUUGAAAGAACGCCAAUUCAAGCAAUUAGAGGUCAGAAGUGACCAGUAUCAUUGUUGCUGUUCUGUAAGCCACAGUAUCACAAAAAAGUUGCAAACAUUUCAGAGACCAUGGAUAUUUAUAUGGGGAAAUUGUUCCAGGAGUGGAAGACAUUCAUUUUUUUUUUCUGUGUACCUUUUUCAUACUGAAGUUAAUUAUUUGAUGAUAGCAACUAAUUUAUGUCAUUUGUAAAACCAUGUGACUUCUCAUUUAAUUACUAGAUUAAAAUCAAUGAACCCCA
RNAcentral lists this long non-coding RNA (701 nucleotides) under Rattus norvegicus (Norway rat). RNAcentral's name for it is "long non-coding RNA NONRATT022410". The record is from RNAcentral. Lineage: Eukaryota; Metazoa; Chordata; Mammalia; Rodentia; Muridae.